RNAcentral lists this ribosomal RNA (504 nucleotides) under uncultured Glomus. Its description in RNAcentral is "SSU rRNA". It matches the Rfam family "Eukaryotic small subunit ribosomal RNA", at positions 569 to 1077 of the family's 1831-position model. Lineage: Eukaryota; Fungi; Glomeromycota; Glomeromycetes; Glomerales; Glomeraceae. The record is from RNAcentral.
AGCAGCCGCGGUAAUUCCAGCUCCAAUAGCGUAUAUUAAAGUUGUUGCAGUUAAAAAGCUCGUAGUUGAAUUUCGGGGUCAGUAGGUUGGUCGUGCCACUGGUAUGCACUGGUCUCACUGAUUCCUCCUUCCUGAUGAACCGUAAUGCCAUUAAUUUGGUGUUGCAGGGAAUCUGGACUGUUACUUUGAAAAAAUUAGAGUGUUUAAAGCAGGCUAACGCUUGAAUACAUUAGCAUGGAAUAAUGAAAUAGGACGAUCGAUCCUAUUUUGUUGGUUUCUAGGAUUGACGUAAUGAUUAAUAGGGAUAGUUGGGGGCAUUAGUAUUCAAUUGUCAGAGGUGAAAUUCUUGGAUUUAUUGAAGACUAACUACUGCGAAAGCAUUUGCCAAGGAUGUUUUCAUUAAUCAAGAACGAAAGUUAGGGGAUCGAAGACGAUCAGAUACCGUCGUAGUCUUAACCAUAAACUAUGCCGACUAGGGAUCGGAUGAUGUUAAUUUUUUAAUGA